Molecule: long non-coding RNA, 225 nt
Organism: Cydia splendana
Lineage: Eukaryota; Metazoa; Arthropoda; Insecta; Lepidoptera; Tortricidae
Exons: 3
Source: RefSeq, a predicted model, not a curated record
AAUCCACAUAGAAAUGGCCGUCCACGAGGGCGGAGGAAAAAUCGUGCAUACAUUAUCCUCCGUAUACAACCAGCUAAUAUCAAUACCACCAACAAGUGUGGAGUCGGAAAGGGCAUUUUCGGCAGCUGGGGUGUUCUGUAACCGUAUGAGGACGAGGUUAAGUGACGAAUCUCUUGAUGCGGUGAUAUUUUGUUAUUGGCGUAGCAGUGUACGCAUUCUGUUUUU